CGGUUAUACUAAGAGAUUAAGUUAUAUUUAUUAAGGUAAAAAGGUAGUUAAAUAAUUAAUUAGCUAUAUUAUUUUUUAUAGAAGGGUAAAAUCUAAUUAUAAAAAAAUAGAUCUGAGAUGGCUAUAAAAUUGACUCUACGAUAGCUUUGAGGGAAACUGGGAUUAGAUACCCCAUUAUUCAUAGCUGUAAAUCAAUUAUUUUUACCUGAGUACUAUGAAUUAAAUAAAUUUAAAACUCAAAGGGCUUGGCGGUGUUUUAGACUUCUCAGGGGAACCUGUCUCAUAAUCGACAGUCCACGCUAAACCUAACCUUUUUUUGUUAUUCAGUUUGUAUACCGUUGUCGUCAGGUAACUUUUAAGAAUUUUAGAAGUUAGCAAUAUAAAUUAAUUAAUUAUUACGUCAAAUCAAGGUGCAGCUUAUAAAUAGGUGAAGAUGGGUUACAAUUAUAAAUUCAUAACUAUGGACGUAGCGGUGGAAUUAUUAUCUACCGAAGGAGGACUUGAAAGUAAAAUAAGUUGUAUAUAAAUAAUUUGAAUAAAGCUCUGAAACAUGUACAANCC
This 561-nucleotide ribosomal RNA is filed under the name Plesiotriton vivus. RNAcentral's name for it is "partial 12S ribosomal RNA". Lineage: Eukaryota; Metazoa; Mollusca; Gastropoda; Neogastropoda; Cancellariidae. The record is from RNAcentral.